Molecule: non-coding RNA, 46 nt
Filed under: Schistosoma mattheei
Lineage: Eukaryota; Metazoa; Platyhelminthes; Trematoda; Strigeidida; Schistosomatidae
Source: RNAcentral
GCACUGCUGAGGAGUCCCGCGAUAGGACGAAACGGCCGUCCGGUGC